Molecule: transfer RNA, 67 nt
Filed under: Holandriana holandrii
Lineage: Eukaryota; Metazoa; Mollusca; Gastropoda; Amphimelaniidae
Description: tRNA-Val
Source: RNAcentral
UAGGGUGUAGCAUAAUUAAUGUAUUUCACUUACACUGAAAUGAUACUUUUUUAAUAAGUCGCCUUAA